Molecule: long non-coding RNA, 810 nt
Organism: Crotalus tigris (Tiger rattlesnake)
Lineage: Eukaryota; Metazoa; Chordata; Lepidosauria; Squamata; Viperidae
Exons: 4
Source: RefSeq, a predicted model, not a curated record
GCAACAUUUCAUUUCCUAUGCUUAAGCAAAAGAUAGAUGAAAACCAGAAAGAAGAUAACAAAACACAAACAUUUCCAUUUUAGAAAAACAUAGAAACACACGUACAAGAUUCAUUAAAAAAAAAAACCAAUGUGACUUGAGCUAAUGGGAAUUAAUAAAAGAAGAGUGUGUCAACUUUUGGAUUUCUUCAGUAUCCUUAGGUAACAAGUGACUAUACAUCAAAUGCAAACCUAAGUCAGUUGUGGAUAUCUCCUAUGAAUCAAACGAGAUGACAUACAUCGUGAAAUAAACUUCCUAUUACACCUGAGAAAAUCUCAAUAUAAUACUGAACCAGGCAUAAAGAAGCAUAACAGAAGAAAAGCAUUAUUUUUGUAGCUCUAUUUGAAUUCUGCCCCCUUUUUUAAAAUGUGAAUCAGUAGUGCUAAGGGAGCCACCUGCUGGCGACAAUAAAACAUUGCAUGAGAAGUUCUGGAAAGUUAACUUUUCAGUCCUUGAAACGCUAACCAGAAACGCUGAAUGAUUCAGAUGUGAUUCAUUAAGACAAGGAAUUCUUGAAAUCGAGACAUGCUGUACCCCUUUGAACCAUUCUGAUUGUAAGUACAAGGUCAUCCCUGUUUCCAGGUCACGUCUCUCAACAAGGAAGUCUUUUUUUCUCCAGAUGAAAUAACUACAAUGUCUGCAGGUGUGGUACUGCUGAUUUUAUCAGAAGAAUGAUGGGGAGAAACAAGACAAUAGUAUGUACCUCUUUCCUUAGGUGCAUAGACUAUUUACAUGCAAUGGCCAAGUAUUCAAUAAAGAGUUACACAAGCA